AACUAUGCUGAUAUACCUGCUGAGUUGAGUCAGACAUAUUCUGAAGUAUGUCAUUUCAUUAAUUUAGUGACUAGAAGAUGGUCUAAACCUUUGGCUCACUCCUUAAAUAUGUAUAUUUUGAAUCCAUCCCACCUGGUGCAAAAACAAAUGCCUACUUGUUUGAGACUGAU
This is a long non-coding RNA of Etheostoma spectabile (orangethroat darter), 170 nucleotides long. RefSeq lists it as uncharacterized. NCBI's taxonomy places the organism in Eukaryota, Metazoa, Chordata, Actinopteri, Perciformes, Percidae. The record is from RefSeq and is a predicted model, not a curated record. The transcript is spliced from 3 exons.